This is a long non-coding RNA of Hyalella azteca, 870 nucleotides long. RefSeq lists it as uncharacterized. Lineage: Eukaryota; Metazoa; Arthropoda; Malacostraca; Amphipoda; Hyalellidae. The transcript has 2 exons. The record is from RefSeq and is a predicted model, not a curated record.
GGCUGAGUGCUGUGUUGUACACCCGUGAGGUGACCAUCUCCCCCACUGAGGCUGUGCGGGUGCUGGGUGAGGCGGCUGCUGGGGACGCUGGGGCGCUGCUCACAGCGGGGCCCGUGGUGGCGCUCCUCGUCGACGCGCCCUACCACCACAUCCAGCAGUCCGUCUCUGCAGUCAGGAGGGACCUUUACUUCUUGUCCCCUAACAACGGCAACGGCUACAACAUUGCCAACAAGUUCUUCUCGUUUGCCUCGCUGUCCAUGUCCGUUUAGAUCUUCUUAGUCCACUCGUCUAGAGGACAUUCCUUAUCGACUUCACCGUUUGUUAUUGAGUUUUAUUCAGCAUCCGAGUUUUAUGGCACAAAAUUAUGCGUUCAGUAAUAUAUGCUAUGGUGGUUUUCUAGUAUAUGAGAAAGUAUUUCUUCUUCAUUUCUGUUAAUUGAUUAGACACUGAAGUUUGUCAGAAGUUUAAUAUUGUUCCAUUAAAAGUCAAUGAAUUCCUAAUGCUGCCAUUCUUCUACGUAGCAAAAUGUUUCAUCCGUCCACAUCUAAUUAUGCGAUCUGUGAUAGAUUUAGCCCUAAUUGUUAAUGCAAGUUUAGUGUCAAUUGUGCAUCCCGUUGCGGUGAUGAAUUUCUUGAUAACCUGGGAUUAUUUUGCCUUGCUUCUCCUAUGGUGUUGACCAAGCAGCAAAGGAACGCUUAAUACCUUAGAGCAAUAAAUGGUUACAAUGUUUCGAUCAAAGAUAUAAAUAAGUUGUCACUGGCUAUUCAUUUCGUUGUUUUAAGCAUUCAAGUCUGAGCAUUUAUAACUCAAAUUAUGUAUUGUACGACAAGCUAAAGUUAAUAAAUGAAGUACAACUUAGAUUCACCGAAA